CUACGGGCGGCUGCAGUGAGGAAUAUUGCACAAUGGGGGGAACCCUGAUGCAGCAACGCCGCGUGGAGGAUGACGCAUUUCGGUGUGUAAACUCCUUUUAUAUGUCAAGAAAAUGACGGUAGCAUAUGAAUAAGCGCCGGCUAACUCCGUGCCAGCAGCCGCGGUAAUACGGAGGGCGCAAGCGUUACUCGGAAUCACUGGGCGUAAAGGACGCGUAGGCGGGUUGAAAAGUCAGGUGUGAAAGCCUACAGCUUAACUGUAGAACUGCACUUGAAACUCUCAACCUAGAGUAUGGGAGGGGCAGAUGGAAUUAGUGGUGUAGGGGUAACAUCCGUAGAUAUCACUAGGAAUACCUAAAGCGAAGGCGAUCUGCUGGAACAUUACUGACGCUAAGGCGUGAAAGCGUGGGGAGCAAACAGGAUUAGAUACCCCUGUAGUC
Molecule: ribosomal RNA, 439 nt
Filed under: uncultured bacterium
Lineage: Bacteria
Description: partial 16S ribosomal RNA
Rfam family: Bacterial small subunit ribosomal RNA
Source: RNAcentral